AAAGCUACGAACAAUAUUUAUUAACAUUGCUUUUCUCUUGCUUUCAGUAUUUUUUGUCCUUUUUCUUUUUGAGAACUACUUUAAUUGACCAAUCUUGACCAGCCAGCCUAAUCAGCAUGGUUAUUUAUCAUUAGCCCAAAUUACCACAUGUCCUUGAAACACACACUGUAUGUGAAGAAGGCUGAUCUCCUCAGCAGGGUAGCUUAGCACCUGUUCAGCAUCUCUGCAUCCCAGAAGCACAUGCUCUAAACAAUGGAGCUUCCAAACAAUUAAUAUAAGAACAUUCUCCAGGGCUAAGCGAAAGGAGCCACUGACUGUAAAAAUGCCACAAAAGGGGAAUUAUAAGUGGUUCUAUACAGUUCCUUUUCUUAAGGAAUUAUGUAUUUAUGUGAAUCUCACAUUUCAUGGAACUAAGAAGUCAAAGUCUCUCUGAAAAUAGACACACACUUUAGAGAAAGGAAUUUGUCACUGGGUUCAGGAAAACAUAGAAUUUUGCAUUAUAUAUCUUUAAACUCUUUUUCUCUAGUCCCUUUUCUAUUUUUAUGAAAUAUUCAUGAAUUAUAACCACUAUAGGCAAGCCAUCAACUGCAUUUAGAAUUCUCAGGCAUACAUAAGAAAGCAAAUGACAUUUUUUUUUAAUGUGACAAAAAUAAUUGAUACUAUGAACAUUCCUUUCUCUACUCU
This 684-nucleotide long non-coding RNA is filed under the name Bos taurus (domestic cattle). Its description in RNAcentral is "long non-coding RNA NONBTAT000209". The record is from RNAcentral. Lineage: Eukaryota; Metazoa; Chordata; Mammalia; Artiodactyla; Bovidae.